CCUACGGGUGGCAGCAGUGAGGAAUAUUGGUCAAUGGGCGCGAGCCUGAACCAGCCAAGUCGCGUGAGGGAAGACGGUCCUAUGGAUUGUAAACCUCUUUUGUCGGGGAGCAAAAGACGCCACGCGUGGCGUUCCGAGAGUACCCGAAGAAAAAGCAUCGGCUAACUCCGUGCCAGCAGCCGCGGUAAUACGGAGGAUGCAAGCGUUAUCCGGAUUUACUGGGUGUAAAGGGAGCGUAGGCGGCAGGGCAAGCCUGAUGUGAAAGCCCGGGGCUCAACCCCGGGACUGCAUUGGGAACUGCCCUGCUGGAGUGCCGGAGGGGCAGGCGGAAUUCCUAGUGUAGCGGUGAAAUGCGUAGAUAUUAGGAGGAACACCAGUGGCGAAGGCGGCCUGCUGGACGGUGACUGACGCUGAGGCUCGAAAGCGUGGGGAGCAAACAGGAUUAGAUACCCUUGUAGUC
RNAcentral lists this ribosomal RNA (460 nucleotides) under uncultured bacterium. Its description in RNAcentral is "partial 16S ribosomal RNA". It matches the Rfam family "Bacterial small subunit ribosomal RNA", at positions 338 to 795 of the family's 1533-position model. The record is from RNAcentral.